GAUGAACGCUGGCGGCGUGCCUAAUACAUGCAAGUCGAGCGAACAGACGCGGAGCUUGCUCCUCUGACGUUAGCGGCGGACGGGUGAGUAACACGUGGAUGACCUACCUAUAAGACUGGGAUAACUUCGGGAAACCGGAGCUAAUACCGGAUAAUAUAUUGAACCGCAUGGUUCAAUAGUGAAAGACGGUUUUGCUGUCACUUAUAGAUGGAUCCGCGCCGCAUUAGCUAGUUGGUAAGGUAACGGCUUACCAAGGCAACGAUGCGUAGCCGACCUGAGAGGGUGAUCGGCCACACUGGAACUGAGACACGGUCCAGACUCCUACGGGAGGCAGCAGUAGGGAAUCUUCCGCAAUGGGCGAAAGCCUGACGGAGCAACGCCGCGUGAGUGAUGAAGGUCUUCGGAUCGUAAAACUCUGUUAUUAGGGAAGAACAAAUGUGUAAGUAACUAUGCACGUCUUGACGGUACCUAAUCAGAAAGCCACGGCUAACUACGUG
Molecule: ribosomal RNA, 497 nt
Filed under: uncultured bacterium
Lineage: Bacteria
Description: partial 16S ribosomal RNA
Rfam family: Bacterial small subunit ribosomal RNA
Source: RNAcentral